RNAcentral lists this ribosomal RNA (492 nucleotides) under uncultured bacterium. RNAcentral's name for it is "partial 16S ribosomal RNA". It matches the Rfam family "Bacterial small subunit ribosomal RNA", at positions 29 to 507 of the family's 1533-position model. The record is from RNAcentral.
AGUGAACGCUGGCGGUAGGCCUAACACAUGCAAGUCGAACGGCAGCACAGUAAGAGCUUGCUCUUACGGGUGGCGAGUGGCGGACGGGUGAGGAAUACAUCGGAAUCUACUUUUUCGUGGGGGAUAACGUAGGGAAACUUACGCUAAUACCGCAUACGACCUACGGGUGAAAGCAGGGGAUCUUCGGACCUUGCGCGAUUGAAUGCGCCGAUGUCGGAUUAGCUAGUUGGCGGGGUAAAGGCCCACCAAGGCGACGAUCCGUAGCUGGUCUGAGAGGAUGAUCAGCCACACUGGAACUGAGACACGGUCCAGACUCCUACGGGAGGCAGCAGUGGGGAAUAUUGGACAAUGGGCGGAAGCCUGAUCCAGCCAUACCGCGUGGGUGAAGAAGGCCUUCGGGUUGUAAAGCCCUUUUGUUGGGAAAGAAAAGCAGCAGGUUAAUACCCCGCUGUUCUGACGGUACCCAAAGAAUAAGCACCGGCUAACUUCGUG